AGUAACACGUGAGUGACCUGCCUUUUAGACUGAAACAACUUACCGAAAGGUGAGCUAAUGCCGGAUGAGUUGUAUAAGUGCAUGUUUAUAUAGGAAAAGUUGGGGAGACCUGACGCUGAAAGAUGGACUCGCGUCCCAUUAGCUAGUUGGUAGGGUAAUGGCCUACCAAGGCGACGAUGGGUAGCCGGCCUGAGAGGGUGGCCGGCCACACUGGGACUGAGACACGGCCCAGACUCCUACGGGAGGCAGCAG
Molecule: ribosomal RNA, 252 nt
Filed under: uncultured bacterium
Lineage: Bacteria
Description: partial 16S ribosomal RNA
Rfam family: Bacterial small subunit ribosomal RNA
Source: RNAcentral